Molecule: ribosomal RNA, 97 nt
Filed under: uncultured bacterium
Lineage: Bacteria
Description: partial 16S ribosomal RNA
Rfam family: Bacterial small subunit ribosomal RNA
Source: RNAcentral
UACACACCGCCCGUCAAGUCAUGGGAGUUGGUUUUACCCGAAGAUCGUGUGCUAACUUUGGAGGCAGCGAGCCACGGUAAGAUCAGUGACUGGGACU